This 2109-nucleotide ribosomal RNA is filed under the name human gut metagenome. Its description in RNAcentral is "bacterial LSU rRNA". It matches the Rfam family "Bacterial large subunit ribosomal RNA", at positions 734 to 2925 of the family's 2925-position model. The record is from RNAcentral.
CCAUGUCCAGGCUGAAGUGGAGGUAAAACUCCAUGGAGGGCCGAACACACGUCCGUUGAAAAGGCCGGUGAUGAGGUGUGGAUAGCGGAGAAAUUCCAAUCGAACUCGGAUAUAGCUGGUUCUCUCCGAAAUAGCUUUAGGGCUAGCCUCGUGAAAGAUUACUGGAGGUAAAGCACUGAAUGGGCUAGGGGUCGAAAGAUUACUGAACCCUAUCAAACUAAGAAUGCCAGAUAAUUGAUUCACGGGAGUCAGACAAUGUGAGAUAAGUCUCAUUGUCAAAAGGGAAACAGCCCAGACCCACAGCUAAGGUCCCUAAACAUUGUUAAGUGGAAAAGGAUGUGGGGUUGCAUAAACAACCAGGAUGUUGGCUUAGAAGCAGCCACUCAUUAAAAGAGUGCGUAAUAGCUCACUGGUCGAGUGACCCUGCGCCGAAAAUUCAACGGGGCUAAACAAUGUACCGAAGCUUGGGAUUCUAAAGUAAUUUAGAGUGGUAGGAGAGCGUCGAAUAAGGGGUGAAGUCAGAGCGGAAGCGCUGGUGGACUUUAUUCGAGUGAGAAUGCCGGAAUGAGUAGCGAGAAUUAUGUGAGAAUCAUAAUGGCCGAAAAUCUAAGGUUUCCUGAGGAAGGUUCGUCCGCUCAGGGUAAGCCGGGGGCUAAGGCGAGGCGGAGACGCGUAGCCGAUGCACAUACGGUUGAAAUUCCGUAGCCACCGAAAGAUUUAAGUACAGGGACGCUUUAGAAGUGAUGUUGCCGGGCGAUGGUUGACCCGGUCGUAAGGGAUCGAAAAUGAGUAGAGAAGUCAUCAUGGAAAGAGACAAGAAAAGCUGUAUGAAUAUCUUAGGUGCCCGUACCGCAAACCGACACAGGUAGAUAGGAAGAAGAUUCUAAGGCCAACGGGAGAAGGGUUGUUAAGGAACUCGGCAAGUUGACCCCGUAACUUAGGGAUAAGGGGUGCUCAAGUGAUUGAGCCGCAGAGAAUAGGCCCAGGCGACUGUUUAGCAAAAACACAGGUCUCUGCUAAAUCGAAAGAUGACGUAUAGGGGCUGACACCUGCCCGGUGCCGGAAGGUUAAGAGGAGAUGUGAGAGCAUUGAAUUGAAGCCCCGGUAAACGGCGGCCGUAACUAUAACGGUCCUAAGGUAGCGAAAUUCCUUGUCAGGUAAGUUCUGACCCGCACGAAAGGUGUAACGAUCUGGGCACUGUCUCAACAACCCGCCCGGCGAAAUUGUAGUACCGGUGAAGAUGCCGGUUACCCGUGACUAGACGGAAAGACCCCAUGGAGCUUUACUGUAGCCUAAUAUUGGAUUUCGGUAUUUCACGUACAGGAUAGGUGGGAGACUGGGAAGCACAGGCGUCAGCUUGUGUGGAGUCGACCUUGGGAUACCACUCUUGGAGUGCUGGAAUUCUAACCUGCGGCUUUGAAGCAAGUCGGGGGACAUUGUUAGGUGGGCAGUUUGACUGGGGCGGUCGCCUCCUAAAGAGUAACGGAGGCGCUCAAAGGUUCGCUCUGCAUGGAUGGAAACCAUGCGUCAGAGUGUAAACGCAAAAGCGAGCCUAACUGCGAGAAUGACGGUUCGAGCAGUAACGAAAGUUGGAGUUAGUGAUCCGGCGGUAUGUGAAUGGAAAUGCCGUCGCUCAACGGAUAAAAGCUACCCUGGGGAUAACAGGCUGAUCUCCCCCAAGAGUCCACAUCGACGGGGAGGUUUGGCACCUCGAUGUCGGCUCAUCGCAUCCUGGGGCUGUAUUCGGUCCCAAGGGUUUGGCUGUUCGCCAAUUAAAGCGGUACGCGAGCUGGGUUCAGAACGUCGUGAGACAGUUCGGUCCCUAUCUGUCGUGGGCGUUGGAGAUUUGAAAGGAGCUGUCCCUAGUACGAGAGGACCGGGAUGGACGCACCUCUGGUGCACCAGUUGUCACGCCAGUGGCACAGCUGGGCAGCUAUGUGCGGAACGGAUAAACGCUGAAGGCAUCUAAGCGUGAAGCCGCCCUUAAGAUAAGAUAUCCCUUCUGUUUACAGAGUAAGACCCCUUGAAGACUACAAGGUUGAUAGGCUCAAAGUGUAAGCACGGUGACGUGUUUAGCUAGCGAGUACUAAUCGGUCGAGGGCUUAACCU